AGAUGCUCAUCCCACUCCUUAUGACAGCAUAUGACUUCAUAAAUCUCGGGAUGAUGUAGAGCUGAUUGUCGGUGCCUAUGGUCCACGUUAUAGAUGAGUAAGCAUCUGCCUUUUCAUCGCAAACCGGACACAACGUUGAGUGAGGCACUAUCCG
This 154-nucleotide small RNA is filed under the name Xenorhabdus thuongxuanensis. RNAcentral describes it as "Glm Y RNA activator of glmS mRNA". It matches the Rfam family "GlmZ RNA activator of glmS mRNA", at positions 3 to 156 of the family's 214-position model. Rfam says of the family: This RNA was discovered in E. coli during a large scale screen. The sraJ gene was expressed in early logarithmic phase, but its level decreased with cell growth. Lineage: Bacteria; Pseudomonadati; Pseudomonadota; Gammaproteobacteria; Enterobacterales; Morganellaceae. The record is from RNAcentral.